GGUUACUGCUAUCGGUGUUCGCCUAAGCCAUGCGAGUCAUAUGUUCGUAAGAACAUGGCGUACUGCUCAGUAACACGUGGAUAACCUGCCCUUGGGUCCGGCAUAACCCCGGGAAACUGGGGAUAAUUCCGGAUAACGCACAUAUGCUGGAAUGCUUUUUGCGUAAAAUGGAUUCGUCUGCCCAAGGAUGGGUCUGCGGCCUAUCAGGUAGUAGUGGGUGUAAUGUACCUACUAGCCUACGACGGGUACGGGUUGUGAGAGCAAGAGCCCGGAGAUGGAUUCUGAGACAUGAAUCCAGGCCCUACGGGGCGCAGCAGGCGCGAAAACUUUACAAUGCGGGAAACCGUGAUAAGGGGACACCGAGUGCCAGCAUCCUAUGCUGGCUGUCCGGGUGUGUAAAAUACACCUGUUAGCAAGGGCCGGGCAAGACCGGUGCCAGCCGCCGCGGUAACACCGGCGGCCCGAGUGGUGAUCGUGAUUAUUGGGUCUAAAGGGUCCGUAGCCGGUUUGGUCAGUCCUCCGGGAAAUCUGACAGCUCAACUGUUAGGCUAUCGGAGGAUACUGCCAGACUUGGAACCGGGAGAGGUAAGAGGUACUACAGGGGUAGGAGUGAAAUCUUGUAAUCCCUGUGGGACCACCUGGGGCGAAGGCGUCUUACCAGAACGGGUUCGACGGUGAGGGACGAAAGCUGGGGGCACGAACCGGAUUAGAUACCCGGGUAGUCCCAGCCGUAAACGAUGCUCGCUAGGUGUCAGGCAUGGCGCGACCGUGUCUGGUGCCGCAGGGAAGCCGUGAAGCGAGCCACCUGGGAAGUACGGCCGCAAGGCUGAAACUUAA
Molecule: ribosomal RNA, 837 nt
Filed under: uncultured archaeon
Lineage: Archaea
Description: bacterial SSU rRNA
Rfam family: Archaeal small subunit ribosomal RNA
Source: RNAcentral